RNAcentral lists this ribosomal RNA (301 nucleotides) under uncultured bacterium. Its description in RNAcentral is "partial 16S ribosomal RNA". It matches the Rfam family "Bacterial small subunit ribosomal RNA", at positions 509 to 807 of the family's 1533-position model. The record is from RNAcentral.
CAGCCGCCGCGGGAAUACAGAGGGUGCGAGCGUUAAUCGGAUUUACUAGGCGUAAAGCGUGCGUAGGCGGCUUCUUAAGUCGGAUGUGAAAUCCCUGAGCUUAACUUAGGAAUUGCAUUCGAUACUGGGAAGCUAGAGUAUGGGAGAGGAUGGUAGAAUUCCAGGUGUAGCGGUGAAAUGCGUAGAGAUCUGGAGGAAUACCGAUGGCGAAGGCAGCCAUCUGGCCUAAUACUGACGCUGAGGUACGAAAGCAUGGGGAGCAAACAGGAUUAGAUACCCCGGUAGUCCCUGUCUCUUAUAC